GGUGAACCUGCGGAUGGAUCAU
RNAcentral lists this unclassified non-coding RNA (22 nucleotides) under Dictyostelium discoideum. Lineage: Eukaryota; Evosea; Eumycetozoa; Dictyosteliales; Dictyosteliaceae. The record is from RNAcentral.